GAACUCCACAGUUAAGCGUGCUU
Molecule: non-coding RNA, 23 nt
Filed under: Arabidopsis thaliana (thale cress)
Lineage: Eukaryota; Viridiplantae; Streptophyta; Magnoliopsida; Brassicales; Brassicaceae
Source: RNAcentral